UGGGGAAUUUUGGACAAUGGGCGCAAGCCUGAUCCAGCAAUGCCGCGUGCAGGAAGAAGGCCUUCGGGUUGUAAACUGCUUUUGUCAGGGAAGAAAUCCUCUGGGUUAAUACCUCGGGGGGAUGACGGUACCUGAAGAAUAAGCACCGGCUAACUACGUGCCAGCAGCCGCGGUAAUACGUAGGGUGCGAGCGUUAAUCGGAAUUACUGGGCGUAAAGCGUGCGCAGGCGGCUUUGCAAGACAGAUGUGAAAUCCCCGGGCUCAACCUGGGAACUGCAUUUGUGACUGCAAGGCUAGAGUACGGUAGAGGGGGAUGGAAUUCCGCGUGUAGCAGUGAAAUGCGUAGAUAUGCGGAGGAACACCAAUGGCGAAGGCAAUCCCCUGGACCUGUACUGACGCUCAUGCACGAAAGCGUGGGGAGCAAACAGGAUUAGAUACCCUGGUAGUCCACGCCCUAAACGAUGUCAACUGGUUGUUGGACGGCUUGCUGUUCAGUAACGAAGCUAACGCGUGAAGUUGACCGCCUGGGGAGUACGGCCGCAAGGUUG
RNAcentral lists this ribosomal RNA (548 nucleotides) under uncultured beta proteobacterium. RNAcentral describes it as "bacterial SSU rRNA". It matches the Rfam family "Bacterial small subunit ribosomal RNA", at positions 355 to 896 of the family's 1533-position model. Lineage: Bacteria; Pseudomonadati; Pseudomonadota; Betaproteobacteria. The record is from RNAcentral.